Molecule: ribosomal RNA, 489 nt
Filed under: uncultured bacterium
Lineage: Bacteria
Description: bacterial SSU rRNA
Rfam family: Bacterial small subunit ribosomal RNA
Source: RNAcentral
AAAGGAAUUGACGGGGGCCCGCACAAGCGGUGGAGUAUGUGGUUUAAUUCGAAGCAACGCGAAGAACCUUACCAGGCCUUGACAUCCCUUGCAAAAGCAUAGAGAUAUGCCAGAGGUUAUCAAGGUGACAGGUGGUGCAUGGUUGUCGUCAGCUCGUGUCGUGAGAUGUUGGGUUAAGUCCCGCAACGAGCGCAACCCCUAUCUUUAGUUACCAUCAUUUAGUUGGGGACUCUAGAGAGACUGCCGGUGAUAAGCCGGAGGAAGGUGGGGAUGAGGUCAAAUCAUCAUGCCCCUUAUGGCCUGGGCUACACACGUACUACAAUGGCUACUACAGCGAGCAGCUAGUCAGCGAUGACACGCAAAUCUCACAAAGGUAGUCUCAGUUCGGAUCGAAGUCUGCAACUCGACUUCGUGAAGCAGGAAUCGCUAGUAAUCGCAGAUCAGAAUGCUGCGGUGAAUACGUUCUCGGGCCUUGUACACACCGCCCGU